AUGCAGGAAAAUGGUGUGAAUUGUGGUGUUGUAGAGUGGGUUGAUGGGCCUUGGCCACCUGUUCUUCAGAGAUGUUUGUGCAAGCUAUGGGAGAUGUUCCAUGAGCAGAACUUUGGAAGGGUACAGGACAAGGAGAAGUUUGAGCAGGAGUUGGCCAGGCUUAAGACUGAAAAUGACAAGCUUUGCAUUGAGUACACCAAGCUUGUUGAUGAUGUAUCCAAGAUGUUUGAUUGGCAGGAUGGUAGGGUGGACAAGAAACAAGUGGAGGAGGAAGAACUUGAGAAGAAGAAGAAGGAGCUAGAGGAGAAAGCCAUGUUGGAGGUGCAGAUGGAAAAGCUCAAACUUGCAAAAGAGCAGAGGUGCAUUUUGCAGAGCCAAGCUGAUAUCAUCAAGAACACUAGGAAGGCUAUGAAGGAUGUUGAAGUUGACAGAGAUGUUCUUAAGAAGGAGAAGGCAAUGCUUGAGCUUCUUGUUGCUGAGAUGCUGAAUGAAGGGUAUGGCAGCAAGGAGAAGUUAGAGCAAAUCAAGGCCAUCCUUGAGACUUGA
Molecule: ribosomal RNA, 546 nt
Filed under: Triticum aestivum (bread wheat)
Lineage: Eukaryota; Viridiplantae; Streptophyta; Magnoliopsida; Poales; Poaceae
Description: partial small subunit ribosomal RNA
Source: RNAcentral